GGGCAUUUGGUCUAGUGGUAUGAAUUUCGCUUUGGGUGCGAGAGUUCCCGAGUUCUAUUCUCGAUCGGUAUGCCCC
Penstemon davidsonii is the source of this 76-nucleotide non-coding RNA. The record is from the annotation of a GenBank genome assembly. Lineage: Eukaryota; Viridiplantae; Streptophyta; Magnoliopsida; Lamiales; Plantaginaceae.